AGACAUGACAGUCGAACGAUGAACUGGAGCUUGCUCCAGGGAUUAGUGGCGAACGGGUGAGUAACACGUGAGUAACCUGCCCUUGACUCUGGGAUAAGCGCUAGAAAUGGCGUCUAAUACCGGAUACGAGCUUCAGCCGCAUGGCUAGGAGUUGGAAAGAAUUUUGGUCAAGGAUGGACUCGCGGCCUAUCAGCUAGUUGGUGAGAUAAUGGCUCACCAAGGCGACGACGGGUAGCCGGCCUGAGAGGGUGACCGGCCACACUGGGACUGAGACACGGCCCAGACUCCUACGGGAGGCAGCAGUGGGGAAUAUUGCACAAUGGGCGAAAGCCUGAUGCAGCAACGCCGCGUGAGGGAUGACGGCCUUCGGGUUGUAAACCUCUUUUAGUAGGGAAGAAGCGAAAGUGACGGUACCUGCAGAAAAAGCACCGGCUAACUACGUGCCAGCAGCCGCGGUAAUACGUAGGGUGCAAGCGUUGUCCGGAAUUAUUGGGCGUAAAGAGCUCGUAGGCGGUUUGUCGCGUCUGCUGUGAAAUCUGGGGGCUCAACCCCCAGCCUGCAGUGGGUACGGGCAGACUAGAGUGCGGUAGGGGAGAUUGGAAUUCCUGGUGUAGCGGUGGAAUGCGCAGAUAUCAGGAGGAACACCGAUGGCGAAGGCAGAUCUCUGGGCCGUAACUGACGCUGAGGAGCGAAAGCAUGGGGAGCGAACAGGAUUAGAUACCCUGGUAGUCCAUGCCGUAAACGUUGGGAACUAGAUGUGGGGGCCAUUCCACGGUCUCCGUGUCGCAGCUAACGCAUUAAGUUCCCCGCCUGGGGAGUACGGCCGCAAGGCUAAAACUCAAAGGAAUUGACGGGGGCCCGCACAAGCGGCGGAGCAUGCGGAUUAAUUUCGAUGCAACGCGAAGAACCUUACCAAGGCUUGACAUAUACCGGAAACGUCCAGAGAUGGUCGCCCCGCAAGGUCGGUAUACAGGUGGUGCAUGGUUGUCGUCAGCUCGUGUCGUGAGAUGUUGGGUUAAGUCCCGCAACGAGCGCAACCCUCGUUCUAUGUUGCCAGCACGUUAUGGUGGGAACUCAUAGGAGACUGCCGGGGUCAACUCGGAGGAAGGUGGGGAUGACGUCAAAUCAUCAUGCCCCUUAUGUCUUGGGCUUCACGCAUGCUACAAUGGCCGGUACAAAGGGCUGCGAUACCGUAAGGUGGAGCGAAUCCCAAAAAGCCGGUCUCAGUUCGGAUUGAGGUCUGCAACUCGACCUCAUGAAGUCGGAGUCGCUAGUAAUCGCAGAUCAGCAACGCUGCGGUGAAUACGUUCCCGGGCCUUGUACACACCGCCCGUCAAGUCAUGAAAGUCGGUAACACCCGAAGCCAGUGGCCUAACCCUUGUGGAUGGA
Molecule: ribosomal RNA, 1389 nt
Filed under: Frigoribacterium sp. PDD-59b-54
Lineage: Bacteria; Bacillati; Actinomycetota; Actinomycetes; Micrococcales; Microbacteriaceae
Description: bacterial SSU rRNA
Rfam family: Bacterial small subunit ribosomal RNA
Source: RNAcentral